This 89-nucleotide transfer RNA is filed under the name Thermotalea metallivorans. It matches the Rfam family "tRNA". From Rfam's summary of the family: Transfer RNA (tRNA) molecules are approximately 80 nucleotides in length. Their secondary structure includes four short double-helical elements and three loops (D, anti-codon, and T loops). Lineage: Bacteria; Bacillati; Bacillota; Clostridia; Peptostreptococcales; Thermotaleaceae. The record is from Rfam by way of RNAcentral.
GGAGAGAUGGCAGAGUCCGGUCGAUUGCGCACGACUCGAAAUCGUGUUUACUGGAAACAGUAACGAGGGUUCGAAUCCCUCUCUCUCCG